UGAUGAACAAGUUUGACUCUCCAUGAGUUGU
Molecule: non-coding RNA, 31 nt
Filed under: Mus musculus (house mouse)
Lineage: Eukaryota; Metazoa; Chordata; Mammalia; Rodentia; Muridae
Source: RNAcentral